Molecule: non-coding RNA, 2674 nt
Organism: Triticum urartu
Lineage: Eukaryota; Viridiplantae; Streptophyta; Magnoliopsida; Poales; Poaceae
Source: RefSeq, a predicted model, not a curated record
AGCUCCUCCCGCCUCGCCGCCGCCUCCUCUUCCCUCCCGCGCGCCUCCUCUCCCCUCCCCUCCCCUCCCGCGCGGCUCCUCCCUCCCACCCACAUCGCCGCCGCUGCCACCCACCGCCUCGAACGGCACCGUCGGCGGCCAGAUCCGCCGCAGCAGAGCGCCCCUUCCCCCCCCCCACGACGACCAGCAGCAGAGGAGGGAGGACGAGGAGCAUGACGGCGGCGACGGGGAGCAGCAGUAGCAGGCGGAGGCGCUGUGCUCGCGGAGGCGCUGUAGAUCCCCGCCGAGCAGGCCGCGCUGGUGCUCGGGGUGCUCGGAGCCGUGCUCCCCGGCGACGACGAUGAACCCGCAACCGAAGGAGCUGGCGCCUCCCCGCCCCCAUCUAUCCACUCCGUCCAGCAGAUAGAGAGAGGGAUGAUGUGAAGGAGACCAGAUAGAGAGAGGGAUGAUGUGAAGGAGACGAGAGGAAGGAGAAGCCAUGCCCCGUCCACUGCGUCGUGCGCGACGACCGGCUGGGCUCUGUUUCAGCACCCCAAUCUUCCUACCUCUAUCCCCUUCUAAUUUCUCCAUCCCUUUCUUUCAGAUUUUUUGUGUGUACAUGCAUACAAGACGCUUGAUGAAAAUCCAAGCAGGUUGCAAGGGAAGGCAAAUUCCAUUUUAUGCUCAUGUGUAAUCAUUGAUUCUUUUUUCCUCACAUUUAGCAUGCAUUCAACUUUUACUUAUAUGUACAAUAUAUUACCUCUUUCAGUUAUAUGACUUGCACACACACAAUAUAUUGCAUCUGUAGGUCAUGUGACUUGCCUACAGAAGAUAUGAGUGUCCUCGGAAAAUAUAUUAUGCCGGAUCUACUAUGGUUGCCACAUUAUGCAAGUCAGCAUUUAGUGAUCUAAAAGUUUAGACCAUGGCAUUAUGUUCAAUGCUCAGCAAAUCCACCCUUGCAGUUGCUUCUGACUAGCGACUGGUGGCGCUGGAUGUGCUUGCUUCCUUUGUCGUGCAACUUCUUGACUCAACCCGACCGUGUUACAAGUUUCUCUCCCCCUCCCUCUCUCUUGACCCCUAUUAUUUUCCGGAUUGGAAGUGGCCUAAAGAAUAUGAAGUCACUUGGAACUAGCAUUCACACAUGUUUUCUCUCUCAGAUUUUGAAGGUUGAUUCUCUCCAUAAUCUUUACCUUUGAUGACAUUUCCUUUUCUGGGUAUUUUACUUUGUCAUGUGCAUUGCGACCUGGAGACCUUUAUCUGCAACAUAGUGAUAGGGAGGUGUUGCAUAUGGUGACUUCCAGUCUGAUGUGUACAUCGAUCUCCUUUUUGAAUACCAAAAUAGUUGGCUGUAAUUAAAAAAAUGCUUACUUUCUUGGCUGUAAUUUAUUUGCCAAACUUACUUUUUUGGCCGUAAUCUAUUUGUCAUUUGUAACAGCCAAUUCACAUGCAAAAAAAUGCUUUGAAGAUUUUUAUUGACAUUUUAUUAAAGUAGUUUUCAAAUGCAACCUCACCUAUUUUCCAUUUCUAUUGUUUCUACUAGGUUUAAACUAAAAGGAGAAAGAGCUAAAAAAGUCCUUUAUCUUUAUAGUAUUUUAUGUUGAAGGGGCUAUGUAGUAUUUAUCCAUAUUUUCCCUCCUUCGGAUGUGAUGUGGAUGAUGUCUUGGGAUCCGGACAUCGUCUUCUCUCUGCUGGCCCUGCCAUCGUUCCUUAGUCCGGUGUCGCCAUAUUUUUUGGUUCUUGGUUUCUUGUUGCCACAUGGUACUGGACUUAUGCUUCCAAGGGCUAGGAUCUGGUGUGGUUGCUUCUUUCUAGGAUGUUCGUCGUCGACCUGGGACAUGUACUUUACUGCUUUCUUAUCUUUGGUGUGAAGAUCCAUUGGUAAAGUUUAUUUGAGGAAACUGUACCGUUCCAUGGACCCAUUAUUUCGGCGAGCCGGUCCUAUUAUUGCACUGAAGAGGCCAUCUCUUAGCAUUGAACCACAAGUUCAUGUUCGCAAGCUGAAACAUGAACUUGAACCACAUGCUCGCAAGCUCGGUUUUUAUCCGACGGCCGAGGGCGUUCCGGAGGGGGAUCGGGCGGCCGAAAAUGCAUCAAGGAGCCGAUUCGACAGCCAGGAGGCUCAAAUCGCUGAGGAGCCGUGUGAGGGGUGCCACUUGGCUGGCAGCAGGAAGUACGCCAUCAACAUCAUCGAGAUCCGCUUGAAGGACAACACCAUGGAAGAUGCUCAAUGACCAGAUCGUCGUCCUCUCCGAGAGGAGGGGCCAGCUCAAGCAGGUUGCCGCUGGAACUAGAUGGGGUCUCCAGCCAGCCUGCCAUGUGGCUUGCAGUAGCGGUUGAUGCAAGUUAUCCUUACAUACGUAUAAGGGUCUUAGUACUUACUUAGUAUGACAAAGUGAAUAUAGAACUGAUGUAUUGAAUUAUUAAUGGGGUGGUUUCGAUGAGAACUGAAACCUUUCGCUUUCAAGGUUGGACACUGAUAUGAACUGUGAGUAUUUAAUAGAGAAAUUCAGUUCAUGUGGAUCAAAACGAAGGCAUGUAGUACCUUACAUGGACAGUGAUUAUUUGCCCAUUGUGGUACUUCAAAUUUGAUGAAGAAUUUAUUUCAUGACCGAGACAUGGGACUUGGAGAAUCUCAGUUCUGACAUGUAUAUUAAUCACCUUUAUUUUUUCAUGGUAAUGGUACUGAAUGUUCUGA